UCGUGUUGCUGGAUGAGGUGGGCAAGC
RNAcentral lists this small RNA (27 nucleotides) under Bombyx mori (domestic silkworm). RNAcentral's name for it is "ovarian small RNA-2100". The record is from RNAcentral. Lineage: Eukaryota; Metazoa; Arthropoda; Insecta; Lepidoptera; Bombycidae.